CGGCGUGCCUAAUACAUGCAAGUCGAGCGCAGGAAGCAGAUUGAUCCCUUCGGGGUGACGUCUGUGGAAUGAGCGGCGGACGGGUGAGUAACACGUGGGCAACCUGCCUGUAAGAUCGGGAUAACUUGCGGAAACGUGAGCUAGUACCGGAUAAUGCUCCACGCCUCCUGGUGUGGAGAUGAAAGACGGUUUUGCUGUCACUUACAGAUGGGCCCGCGGCGCAUUAGCUAGUUGGUGGGGUAAUGGCCUACCAAGGCGACGAUGCGUAGCCGACCUGAGAGGGUGAUCGGCCACACUGGGACUGAGACACGGCCCAGACUCCUACGGGAGGCAGCAGUAGGGAAUCUUCCGCAAUGGACGAAAGUCUGACGGAGCAACGCCGCGUGAGCGAUGAAGGUCUUCGGAUCGUAAAGCUCUGUUGUUAGGGAAGAACAAGUGCGAGAGUAACUGCUCGCACCUUGACGGUACCUAACCAGAAAGCCACGGCUAACUACGUG
Molecule: ribosomal RNA, 497 nt
Filed under: uncultured Bacillaceae bacterium
Lineage: Bacteria; Bacillati; Bacillota; Bacilli; Caryophanales; Bacillaceae
Description: bacterial SSU rRNA
Rfam family: Bacterial small subunit ribosomal RNA
Source: RNAcentral